Molecule: ribosomal RNA, 440 nt
Filed under: uncultured bacterium
Lineage: Bacteria
Description: partial 16S ribosomal RNA
Rfam family: Bacterial small subunit ribosomal RNA
Source: RNAcentral
CCUACGGGUGGCUGCAGUGGGGAAUAUUGCACAAUGGGGGAAACCCUGAUGCAGCGACGCCGCGUGAGGGAAGAAGGAACUCGUUAUGGAAAGCUCUAUUCGCAGGGAAGAAAAUGACUGUACCUGAGUAAGAAUCCCCGUCUAACUACGUUCCAGCCGCGGCGGUAAUACGGAGGGGGCAAGCGUUAUCCGGAUUUACGGGGUGUAAAGGGAGCGUAGACGGCAGAGCAAGUAUGGAGUGAAAGGCGGGGGCUCAACCCCCGGACUGCUCUGGAAACUGUACGGCUGGAGUGCAGGAGAGGUAAGUGGAAUUCCUGGUGUAGCGGUGAAAUGCGUAGAUAUAAGGAGGAACACCAGUUGCGAAGGCGAAUUGCUGGACAGUAACUGACGCUGAGGCGCGAAAGCGUGGGGAGCAAACAGGAUUAGAUACCCUGGUAGUC